Molecule: non-coding RNA, 120 nt
Organism: Pristionchus pacificus
Lineage: Eukaryota; Metazoa; Nematoda; Chromadorea; Rhabditida; Neodiplogasteridae
Source: Rfam
GCACGGAUGGCCGAGUGGUCUAAGGCGCCAGACUCAAGCGAUAAGCUUGGCACGAGUUCAGUGCCUCCUGGGUGUUCUGGUACCCGUAUGGGUGCGUGGGUUCGAACCCCACUCCGUGCA